This is a non-coding RNA of Apaloderma vittatum (bar-tailed trogon), 73 nucleotides long. The record is from Rfam. NCBI's taxonomy places the organism in Eukaryota, Metazoa, Chordata, Aves, Trogoniformes, Trogonidae.
GGGCCGUUAGCUCAGUCAGUUGAGCGUGGUGCUGAUAACACCAGGGUCGCGGGUUUGAUUCCAGUUCGGUCCC